GGGCCCAUAGCUCAGCUGGGAGAGCGCCUGAUUUGCAUUCAGGAGGUCAGGAGUUCGAUCCUCCUUGGGUCCA
This 73-nucleotide transfer RNA is filed under the name Micavibrio aeruginosavorus EPB. RNAcentral's name for it is "tRNA-Ala". It matches the Rfam family "tRNA". Rfam says of the family: Transfer RNA (tRNA) molecules are approximately 80 nucleotides in length. Lineage: Bacteria; Pseudomonadati; Bdellovibrionota; Bdellovibrionia; Bdellovibrionales; Pseudobdellovibrionaceae. RNAcentral also lists the same sequence under 1 other name. The record is from RNAcentral.